CCCUUGCCACAUCCUUUUGCCCGCUUUCUCUCUCCCACCCCCAUCUCCUCUUACUUUUGGCUCUUUAGAACCCAGUAAAAAACAAGAGACUGAGGUUUCCCUUCCUCAUGAUAGGUCAGUAGUGCUUUAAGCAAACAAUAUUAGCAGCUUUGACUGCAGCAUUAGCAAUUAGGGAAAAAUAAUUAAGUUCCCUGCGGACAUGUAACUUUGCCAUCAGUUUUGAUGUGGAAACACUGUGAUAUAUAAAUGUUGUUGGACAACAGUAGUUUUAAGAGUAAAAUAUGAAAGAUUUAAAAAGUUGAAAAAAAAAAGCUAGCUCUGUCCUUUACUUAUGAGACACUUUAACUUUUUCCUUUGUAUUUCCAUUGUAUUAGAUAAAUAAAUGUGAAUGUAAAAUUGUAUAAAUUACUGUACUUGAAUACUUCUGUUCUCCCAGUAUUGCUUGCUGGAUAUUUUAGUGCCUUGGACUUCUAUUGCUUCUGCCAUUAGCAUCAACUUCUCAUGAGAACCCAGAACAGCAAAGGGCAUGCAGUCCAUGGUGACUCUAGCAGUGGGUUAUGCCAAAGGGAAAAUGAAAGAGUAUUUCUUUUUCAGUCAUACAACAAUUUUGUCUAGAGCAGGUGUCAGGUGUAUGAUGAGCAGAGUGAGAAGUUAAGUUGACACCAAUGGUUGAAAGCAGAAAGUUCUGUUUCAGGAACAGUGAAGAGGGUAUGCUAACAAAAUCAAAAAGAUUAUGUCUUUUUAAAAGACAGUUAAACAGAUUAUGGGUUGUGUAUAAGUGAACAAAAAGGGAAGACUAAAGAGAACAAAUUUGUUCUGAAGAUAAGAGAUGCCUGGCCUGUGGGUGUCAUAAGCUUGAUCAUUUGAGCUAGGCUUAAACAGAUGAGAUCUUGAAGAAAUGGCUGAAUAUAAAAGGAAGGGAGAGGGGGUUCUUUAAGAUGGAAAAUGUGAUAGUGAGACGUCACAGGUGCAGAGACUUGCUCUAUGAAAAAAAUGGAUUGCUUUCCUCUUGUUGGACAUGUACAAUACAUUUUUCACCGUGGGAAUUUAUUUUGUGGAAAGUAGACCUACCCAUUUGCUAUAAAAUGUCCCGAUGGUUGCAGGAUCAUAUUCUAUUGUGCCACCUUUAUUUAUAAAAUUGCAACUGUUCACAUUUUCAUGUAAACUAAUGUUCCCCUUUAAUAACUACAACAAAUCAGUAUUACUUAGUGCUAUGCCUACCUGUAAUGGGCAGUUCUCUUAGUAUUUUCAAGAGUUUUCAGGAAAUAUUUUCUAAUUGGCUACCUUUGAGGUCUCUGUUAUCUCUUAAGAUCGGGAAAGAAGCUAGGAAUCUUUGUUUUUUGGGUGCUUCUUCUCUUGACUCUUGAGUUGAGAUAUUGACAUAUUUCCAACCUCUUAUCCACCUCACAGCACAUCCCAGGAAUCAAAUUAGGAAUCUCUAUGUUGGCUUUUCUAUCCUGGUUUUCCAUCUUUGGCCCUUUUUUCUUUAUAUGAGCCUAGGUCCCACAGUACACAGGAAAGCUGAAAGUUUUAGGAUGGUAUGGUAGAAAUUAAAAAAAAAAAAAAAGGCAAGGGUUUCAGGCCCUACUUCAAAUUCUAGGGGAGAUAAAAAAGGAUAAAACAAAGAUGGUGCCAUGUAAAUGAUAAACAAACCACCUAAAACAAAUUAACGUAAAAUACUUUGACCAGUGGAUAGAGGAAGCCAAAUGCAGUACAAUACCAUUUUCUUGUUUGGGUUUAAUAACUUGGAGGUCUUUUCACUCGCACACAAAAGGAAGAACUGGUUUUAUUUACUGUUGAUUUGUUUUCCCUCCUGUGGAUGAAAUAACUGAAGCCUAGAGGAAUGAACUAGUGCUACUGAACUGUUUAAAUUAUUUUUGUGUUAAUAGUACACUUUGAGUAUCUUUCCACAUUAAAAAUAUUUCUGAAUUAUAAAUGUUUCCCUUACAUUAUUUAACAAUGUACACUGUUUAAAAAAACUGAAUUUCAAACCUUGGGGGUUUCUCAGCAGCCGUUAAUUGUACAUUUUGCACUAACUCUGGGUGUUGCGCUUCUUGUAAGAUUGCGCUUUGUGCUUCAGUUUGUUACCUUUGUAGACUUAUUUAAUGAAACCAUUUAAAUAAACCAAACCUGCUUUUGUUGA
Molecule: long non-coding RNA, 2143 nt
Organism: Suncus etruscus (white-toothed pygmy shrew)
Lineage: Eukaryota; Metazoa; Chordata; Mammalia; Eulipotyphla; Soricidae
Exons: 2
Source: RefSeq, a predicted model, not a curated record